UCACAAUAAAGCGAUUGAGGGUACGUU
This 27-nucleotide small RNA is filed under the name Bombyx mori (domestic silkworm). Its description in RNAcentral is "piRNA piR-bmo-1391795". Lineage: Eukaryota; Metazoa; Arthropoda; Insecta; Lepidoptera; Bombycidae. The record is from RNAcentral.